AUGCCGGAGGACGUCGAAAUGAACGACUUUGCCCAGCCCGCCCUCGCUGCCGCUCCUUUGGCCACCGACGCGCCCGCGCCCGCUCUCUCCACCCUGCAGCAUUUGAAGGAGAUCACGUCCGUGGUCGAGGCGGGGUCGCUGAUCAAGGAGAUCCGUCAGAUCUCCCAUGUCGUUCGCCUCACCAUUGCCCUCCGCCGCCGCCUCGCCGCCACCGACGUCGCGACCUUCCUCGCCUUCGCGCUGCCCCCUUCCUCUGAGGCCUUCACCCGCCUCUCCCAGCUCCUCCCCAAGUCCGAUGGAGACGAGGGUGUGUUACCGAAGUUCCUUCCCUUUGAGAGGAAGUACAUCUCCGUUGGAGUUGUGUGGAGGCACAAUGCUACCCAAGAAGCCACUAUGGCCACCGUAUUAUCCUCACACACGGAUGAACGGUCGGUGCUCUAA
RNAcentral lists this ribosomal RNA (441 nucleotides) under Triticum aestivum (bread wheat). RNAcentral's name for it is "partial small subunit ribosomal RNA". Lineage: Eukaryota; Viridiplantae; Streptophyta; Magnoliopsida; Poales; Poaceae. The record is from RNAcentral.